Non-coding RNA from Podarcis lilfordi (Lilford's wall lizard), 85 nucleotides. Lineage: Eukaryota; Metazoa; Chordata; Lepidosauria; Squamata; Lacertidae. The record is from the annotation of a GenBank genome assembly.
UCUUAACGUUAUGCUUCAUGUGAUGCUGGGACAGAGCCUGAGACUUUUAAUUUCACAGUCGUGGGUUCGAGCCCCACGUUGGGCA